Molecule: ribosomal RNA, 253 nt
Filed under: uncultured bacterium
Lineage: Bacteria
Description: partial 16S ribosomal RNA
Rfam family: Bacterial small subunit ribosomal RNA
Source: RNAcentral
UACGGAGGGUCCAAGCGUUAUCCGGAAUCAUUGGGCUUAAAGGGUCCGUAGGCGGUUUUGUAAGUCAGUGGUGAAAGCCCAUCGCUCAACGGUGGAACGGCCAUUGAUACUGCAAAACUUGAAUUAUUGGGAAGUAACUAGAAUAUGUAGUGUAGCGGUGAAAUGCUUAGAUAUUACAUGGAAUACCAAUUGCGAAGGCAGGUUACUAUCAAUAUAUUGACGCUGAUGGACGAAAGCGUGGGGAGCGAACAGG